GCAAGUCGAACGGUAACAGGCAAAGCUUGCUUUGCGCUGACAAGUGGCGGACGGGUGAGUAACGCGUGGGAAUCUGCCUACUAGCGGGGGAUAGCCCGGAGAAAUCCGGAUUAAUACCGCAUACGCCCUACGGGGGAAAGCUGGGGAUCUUCGGACCUGGCACUAGUAGAUGAGCCCGCGUUGGAUUAGCUUGUUGGUGGGGUAAUGGCCUACCAAGGCAACGAUCCAUAGCUGUUCUGAGAGGAAGAUC
This 250-nucleotide ribosomal RNA is filed under the name uncultured bacterium. Its description in RNAcentral is "partial 16S ribosomal RNA". It matches the Rfam family "Bacterial small subunit ribosomal RNA", at positions 57 to 305 of the family's 1533-position model. The record is from RNAcentral.